Molecule: ribosomal RNA, 3372 nt
Filed under: Triticum aestivum (bread wheat)
Lineage: Eukaryota; Viridiplantae; Streptophyta; Magnoliopsida; Poales; Poaceae
Description: partial small subunit ribosomal RNA
Source: RNAcentral
AUGGUUUGCGCCCCGACGGCGGGGGUGGAGGUGCUGCCGCCUCGCGGUCGCGGGGGUGUCUCCGCCCAGCGCUCCUGGCCGCCGAGCUGCGGCCGCGUCGCCGAGAACGGCGACGGCGAGAGGGGCGUCCAGGGAACGGCGGACGAGGCGGCCGGCCACGCGGGCGUUUCCUCUGCGGCGUGCAACGGCGGGCUCCCGCGCGACCCCCCUCAGCCGCAGCCGCCAGGCGUCGGGGAUGCGCGCCCCUCUGAUGGCCAGGCAGAGGUCAGGGCGCUCGAUGUGAUGCCGCUGGCGUUCGCCGUCCCACGGAAAUGUGCCGUUGCUCCUGCUAAUGGCUCCAUGGAAGAUGGCGGUCAUAUGGCCGAAUCGUUGAAUGUGGAGGGGCAAUUGGUCAGGGAUGAGGAUGUUGUUAUUGGCAAUGGAGAUGGCAGUGUUGUGGGAAGCAGAGUGGGCGACGGUGAAUUGGAGAGGGAGGAGGACGAGAGCAGAAAGAAGAGGUGGUCGGCAUCUGUCAUGAAUCCGCCUCCCAAGAGGAGAGCGGUCUCAGCCAAGCGCAGAUUUCCGCCUGGCUGUGGGAGUGUUGCUGCUACCGGCAUCGGCGUCGGAGGUUGUGGUGUUCCUCCGAUGUUGAAGCGAGAUGAUUCUAAUCACGAAACAGAAAGCAAAAGAGAAGAGGUCGGAGGUGCCACCGAGGCACACAAUGAUAUGCAAGAAUCUCAAGUCGUCAAUUGUGUUGCUCCAGAUGAUUUUGCAGACCGUCCACGAAAUUACGUUGGUCAUGGUGCUUCUCCGAUUUUGAGGCAAGAUGAUUCCAAUCACGAAACAGAAGGCAAAAGAGAAGAGGUUGAAGGUGCCACCGAGGCACACAAUCAUAUGCAAGAAUCUCAAGUCGUUAAUUGUGUCGCUCCAGAUGAUUUUGCAGACCGUCCAAGAAAUUAUGUUGGUCAUGGCACCUCUCCGAUUUUGAGGCGAGAUGAUUCUAAUAACGAAACGGAAGGCAAAAGAGAAGAGGUCGGAGGUGCCACCGAGGCACACAAUCAUAUGCAAGAAUCUCAGGUCGUCAAUUGUGUCGCUCCAGACCGUCCACAAAAUUAUGUUGGUCAUGGCGCUUCUCCGAUUUUGAGGCGAGCUGAUUCUAAUCACGAAACGGAAGGUAAAAGAGAAGAGGUCGGAGGUGCCACCGAGGCACACAAUCAUAAGCAAGAAUCUCAAGCCGUCAAUUGUGUCGCUCCAGAUGAUUUUGCAGACCGUCCACAAAAUUAUGUUGGUCAUGGUGCUUCUCCGAUUUUGAGGCGAGAUAAUUCUAAUGUGGAAAUGGAAGGCAAAAUAAAAGAGGUUGGUGGAGCUACCGAGGCACACAAUCAAAAGAUCCAAGAAUCUCAAGUCGUCAACGUUAUUGUUCAAGAUGGUUUUGCAAGAGGCCAACACGGCCAUGAUAAUCCACUAAAUGAUGUUACAAGUGACUCACCAAGACAUAGUUUCUUGGAGCAGAUGAAUGGUAGAAGAGUAUUACGUGAAAGGAAGCGCGCACCGCUAGUAGCGAGGAACGCUGAGAUUAGAAGCAAACGCGAAGGACGCUUGCAUGAAGGCACUCCGAGGACUCAUCCGAGAGGCCCUCUUAAUGUGAAGAGAAAGGGCAAGAGUUCAGAGAUUGUCAAGAUCAAUGUGAUAUUGGUAGAUGAUGCACGUGUGCUUGACGUGAUACGCUCGGCAUCUAAGUGUGGAGACCAUGUUGCGACCGAUCAAAUUGAAGAUAAGGAUGGUGUGGGCCUUAAUACUAAUAGGGUAAUUAUACAAGCAUUGAUGGCUCCAGACAAAUGCCCUUGGACGCAACGAAAGAAAUCUAUUGGUAGUGUUCCUAAAUCGCUUGCUCCUAGGAAAAAUGUGAAGAAGGUUGCUACUCCAAGGAAAGAAUUGCGCUCCAAAGUUACCCCUUCUACAUCGGCUAGGCGCAAGGCAAGAGAGGAUGGAGAAGAUUCCUUAGAAGAUGAUGAGAAAUCUUUGGCAGUACUUGCGCAUGAAAGAAAUAAUAAAUCAUGCGUCAACAUCCCUCGAUGUGCUCCUUCAGAUGACUUGAGUGUUGAUACCCGAAGCAAAAUUACGAAGAUUGAUGAGAGAAGUCGAUUGCGCGAUCCAAAGGAUAUACCACUUGUAGGGGGGGUUGGUGAUGUAAAAAACAAAUGUGAAGGAAGCUUGCAAGAAGGUACUUCGAGGACGCAUGUGAGAGCUCUUGUUAAUGUGAAGACAAAGGGCAAGAGACCAGAUAAUGUCAAGGUGAAUGGGAUAUUGCUAGAUGAUAGGAGGGUCUUUGAAGAUGACAAGACAGGAAACCAGAUUUCAAGAACUCGAAGAGGAGUGGCGCGCUCCUCAAAUAUUAAAAACGUGAAGAAAGGCUUGUUUGCUCAUAAGUUAAAGCACGAUGGCAUCAGCAAGGACUCUGGGAAUAGGUUCACGAAGGAAUCUAAGUGUGGGGAUCAUCUUCCGACCGAUCAAAUUAAAGAAAAUGAUAAUGUUGGCCUUGUCACCAACAAGAUGACUGUAUUAGCAUUGAUGGCUCCUGACAAAUGCCUGUGGACAGAAGGGAAGAGGCUUAUUGCUGGUGUUUCUCAGUCUCUCACUUGUAGGAAUAAUAACUCUCUUACCGUUCGUGAAGGCCUUUGUUUGCCUGACAUAUCUCAAGGAAAAGAGAGCAUUCCCAUAUGUGUGAUCAACACAAUUGAUGGCGUGCUGCCAACGCCAUUUAAGUACAUUACCAAAGUCAUAUAUCCGCCCUCAUAUGCAAAAGCACCUUCAGUAGGCUGUGACUGCACUAACGGUUGCUCGGACUCUAGUGAAUGUGCUUGUGCUGUGAAAAAUGGAGGGGAGAUCCCAUUCAAUUUGAAUAGCGCAAUUGUUUAUACAAAGCCUCUCAUAUAUGAGUGUGGCCCAUCAUGCAGGUGCCCGCCAACAUGCCACAAUAGGGUGAGCCAGCACGGCCCCAAAGUUCCACUGGAAAUAUUCAAGACCGGGAAGACAGGUUGGGGCGUAAGAUCCCUCAGUUUUAUCCCUUCAGAAGAAGAAGGUUCAGAAUCUUCUAAAUCCGAGAUGACGGCGGAAGGCUUGGGCUAUACAAUAGAUGCUGCAAAGUGUGGUAAUGUUGGAAGAUUCAUCAACCAUAGCUGCUCUCCAAACAUGCAUGCACAGGAUGUUCUCUGGGACCAUGAUGAUAGGAGGAUGCCGCAUGUUAUGCUUUUCGCCGAAAAGAAUAUCCGUCCUCUACAAGAGCUUACUUACGAUUACAAUUAUAACAUAGGUAAUGUGCGCAAGAAUGGCAAGGUGAAGGAGAAGAAAUGCUUUUGCGGUUCGUCGAAGUGCCGCCUCAGGCUUUACUAA